CCUACGGGAGGCAGCAGUGAGGAAUAUUGGUCAAUGGACGAGAGUCUGAACCAGCCAAGUAGCGUGCAGGAUGACUGCCCUAUGGGUUGUAAACUUCUUUUAUAUGGGAAUAAACUGUUCCACGCGUGGGUUUUUGUAUGUAUCAUAUGAAUAAUGAUCGGCUAACUCCGUGCCAGCAGCCGCGGUAAUACGGAGGAUCCGAGCGUUAUCCGGAUUUAUUGGGUUUAAAGGGAGCGUAGGUGGGUGGUUAAGUCAGUUGUGAAAGUGUGCGGCUCAACCGUAGAAUUGCAGGUGAUACUGUCAGUCUUGAGUACAGUAGAGGUAGGCGGAAUGUGUGGUGUAGCGGUGAAAUGCUUAGAGAUCACAAAGAACUCCGAUUGCGAAGGCAGCUCACUGGACUGCAACUGACACUGAGGCUCGAAAGUGUGGGUAGCAAACAGGAUUAGAUACCCCAGUAGUC
This 460-nucleotide ribosomal RNA is filed under the name uncultured bacterium. RNAcentral describes it as "partial 16S ribosomal RNA". It matches the Rfam family "Bacterial small subunit ribosomal RNA", at positions 338 to 795 of the family's 1533-position model. The record is from RNAcentral.